CCAACGUGGAUACCUCCGGGAGGUCACUCUCCCCGGGGCUCUGUCCAAGUGGCGUAGGGGAGCGUAGGGCUCUGCCCCGUGAUGUACAGUCCCUUUCCACGGCGUUGGAGAUGAAGCUGGGCUUUCGAGUCCGCGCCUGCAUAUUCCUACAGCUUCUCAGAGUCCUGUGGACAAUGACUGAGGAGACAAACCAUGCAGGAAACAUCU
RNAcentral lists this small nucleolar RNA (207 nucleotides) under Rhinolophus ferrumequinum (greater horseshoe bat). RNAcentral describes it as "Small nucleolar RNA SNORA73 family (ENSRFEG00010007337.1)". It matches the Rfam family "Small nucleolar RNA SNORA73 family". From Rfam's summary of the family: U17 (SNORA73A and SNORA73B) also known as E1 belongs to the H/ACA class of small nucleolar RNAs (snoRNAs). Lineage: Eukaryota; Metazoa; Chordata; Mammalia; Chiroptera; Rhinolophidae. The record is from Rfam by way of RNAcentral.